GGGGUUGUUGUAAGCUGUAACUAGCUGUAAGCUAGACUGUAUCCAACUGCACUGUAUCUGGCGUAACUCACCCAGAUUGUCCCUUUAUGACGGGGGUUACUUGUUAUGAAGUAUCAAAGCAGAAUUUGUAACCCUGUUUGCAUCCCUCGUUUGUUUGUUAGCUUGCUAAGUAUAGAGCGGGAAGCAUAGUCUGUAAUAUCUCCUGUCAGAGAUUUAGCCCACCACACACAUACUUUUUGAGCGGAGCUUUUGUGUUCAUUGGUAUUUUGUGUUUGUUUGUGCAGUUGGCCCAGAGGUGUUGGGGCAUUAUGACGUGUCAGAUACCCACUCCGAGAAGGAGCUUCCAUCCGCACCCCCCCACUCACUGCCCCCCUCAGGUGAGGCCGAGGCAAAGCCUCCUAAGGUGAGUCGACCCUCCUCAGACAGCGAAGUGGAGAUUGUCGGCGUUCAGGAGAAUCCCAGGUUCCCUCGUGGAGGCGUCAUAAAGUCUCUGUCCUCCUGGAAGACUGGGGCCAAGCCCACGUGGAACACAAACCCUAGCCAGUCCGGAUGGGCGCCACCUUCAGAAGUGGUGGAUUUGACACUGGAGGAGGACAGACAGAGAUACCUGCUGUGACACAUACAUACACACACACACGCACAUACACACACACACACACA
This is a long non-coding RNA of Clupea harengus (Atlantic herring), 660 nucleotides long. RefSeq lists it as uncharacterized. NCBI's taxonomy places the organism in Eukaryota, Metazoa, Chordata, Actinopteri, Clupeiformes, Clupeidae. The transcript has 3 exons. The record is from RefSeq and is a predicted model, not a curated record.